GACGAACGCUGGCGGCGUGCUUAGCACAUGCAAGUCGAACGGAAAGGCCCUGCUUUUGUGGGGUGCUCGAGUGGCGAACGGGUGAGUAGCACGUGAGUAACCUGCCCUUGACUUUGGGAUAACUUCAGGAAACUGGGGCUAAUACCGGAUAGGAGCUCCUGCUGCAUGGUGGGGGUUGGAAAGUUUCGGCGGUUGGGGAUGGACUCGCGGCUUAUCAGCUUGUUGGUGGGGUAGUGGCUUACCAAGGCUUUGACGGGUAGCCGGCCUGAGAGGGUGACCGGCCACAUUGGGACUGAGAUACGGCCCAGACUCCUACGGGAGGCAGCAGUGGGGAAUAUUGCACAAUGGGCGGAAGCCUGAUGCAGCAACGCCGCGUGCGGGAUGACGGCCUUCGGGUUGUAAACCGCUUUCGCCUGUGACGAAGCGUGAGUGACGGUAAUGGGUAAAGAAGCACCGGCUAACUACGUG
This 468-nucleotide ribosomal RNA is filed under the name uncultured bacterium. Its description in RNAcentral is "partial 16S ribosomal RNA". It matches the Rfam family "Bacterial small subunit ribosomal RNA", at positions 28 to 507 of the family's 1533-position model. The record is from RNAcentral.